UCUCACACUGUAUGAUUUCUCAUGAAGUAACUUGGGGCUGAAGCAAAACUCCCAGGGGAAGCUGCCUGCAAAGAAAAGAGCUGGUUUUCACUAAGCAGCUCAUUAAAGAAAAUUGGUCUCUCCCCACACCACCACCAGAAAAGGGCACUUAACUAAUUUGGAAGGCAUUCUGAACGAAAGGAAGUCCUUGGACUAUUUGUAAGCAGCAAGCAACCUUCGAAGAGAAGGCAGCUGAUGGAUUAUGACUGAACAGCCCUAAGAGUAGCUGGAUCUUCUUAAAAUGACACUUUAUACUAAAUUACCUUCAGC
Molecule: non-coding RNA, 309 nt
Organism: Podarcis muralis (Common wall lizard)
Lineage: Eukaryota; Metazoa; Chordata; Lepidosauria; Squamata; Lacertidae
Source: RefSeq, a predicted model, not a curated record